UACGGGGGGUGCAAGCGUUGCUCGGAAUCACUGGGCGUAAAGCGUCCGCAGGCGGCUUGAUAAGUCGGGUGUGAAAGCCCGGGGCUCAACCCCGGAACUGCAUUCGAAACUGUCUGGCUUGAGUACGGGAGAGGGUCGUGGAAUUCCUGGUGUAGAGGUGAAAUUCGUAGAUAUCAGGAGGAACACCGGUGGCGAAAGCGGCGACCUGGCCCGAUACUGACGCUCAUGCACGAAAGCGUGGGGAGCAAACAGG
RNAcentral lists this ribosomal RNA (253 nucleotides) under uncultured bacterium. RNAcentral describes it as "partial 16S ribosomal RNA". It matches the Rfam family "Bacterial small subunit ribosomal RNA", at positions 524 to 776 of the family's 1533-position model. The record is from RNAcentral.